RNAcentral lists this ribosomal RNA (245 nucleotides) under uncultured Erysipelotrichaceae bacterium. RNAcentral's name for it is "partial 16S ribosomal RNA". It matches the Rfam family "Bacterial small subunit ribosomal RNA", at positions 524 to 769 of the family's 1533-position model. The record is from RNAcentral. Lineage: Bacteria; Bacillati; Bacillota; Erysipelotrichia; Erysipelotrichales; Erysipelotrichaceae.
UACGUAGGUGGCAAGCGUUAUCCGGAAUUAUUGGGCGUGAAGAGGGAGCAGGCGGCAAGAUAAGUUUGAAGUGAAAGCGUGGGGCUCAACCCCAUACAGCUUCGAAAACUGUCUAGCUAGAGUACGAGAGAAGUGAACGGAACUCCAUGUGUAGCGGUGAAAUGCGUAGAUAUAUGGAAGAACACCAGUGGCGAAGGCGGUUCACUAGCUCGAAACUGACGCUCAGUCCCGAAAGCGUGGGUAGC